This 430-nucleotide ribosomal RNA is filed under the name Bacillota bacterium. RNAcentral describes it as "Firmicutes bacterium partial 16S ribosomal RNA". It matches the Rfam family "Bacterial small subunit ribosomal RNA", at positions 355 to 776 of the family's 1533-position model. Lineage: Bacteria; Bacillati; Bacillota. The record is from RNAcentral.
UGGGGAAUAUUGGACAAUGGGCGCAAGCCUGAUCCAGCCAUGCCGCGUGUGUGAAGAAGGCCUUUUGGUUGUAAAGCACUUUAAGCGAGGAGGAGGCUACUUGGAUUAAUACUCUAAGAUAGUGGACGUUACUCGCAGAAUAAGCACCGGCUAACUCUGUGCCAGCAGCCGCGGUAAUACAGAGGGUGCGAGCGUUAAUCGGAUUUACUGGGCGUAAAGCGUGCGUAGGCGGCUUCUUAAGUCGGAUGUGAAAUCCCUGAGCUUAACUUAGGAAUUGCAUUAGAUACUGGGAAGCUAGAGUAUGGGAGAGGAUGGUAGAAUUCCAGGUGUAGCGGUGAAAUGCGUAGAGAUCUGGAGGAAUACCGAUGGAGAAGGCAGCCAUCUGGCCUAAUACUGACGCUGAGGUACGAAAGCAUGGGGAGCAAACAGG